GGCUCGUUGGUCCAGGGGUAUUAUUUUCGCUUAUAAUGCGAGAGGACCUGGGUUUAAAUCCUAGACGAGCCC
RNAcentral lists this transfer RNA (72 nucleotides) under Danionella translucida. It matches the Rfam family "tRNA". From Rfam's summary of the family: Transfer RNA (tRNA) molecules are approximately 80 nucleotides in length. Their secondary structure includes four short double-helical elements and three loops (D, anti-codon, and T loops). RNAcentral also lists the same sequence under 1 other name. The record is from Rfam by way of RNAcentral. Lineage: Eukaryota; Metazoa; Chordata; Actinopteri; Cypriniformes; Danionidae.